UUUUAUACGGCUUCUUUAUACUCUCCAAAACCAUGGAAUAAUUUAGUCGCUCUCAUUCCUCUGCAAACGGUCUCUCUGCAAACGCUCCAAAACCAGGAUUUGUUGUUGGGGUCGAAUUUUGGAUUUGUUGUUGGUGUUGAACUUUCAUCCAUAUCAGUAUAUUGUUUAGUACUUGGGAUUAAGAUUCUUCAUGAACACCAGCAGUAUUCGCUGGUCAGUUGGGUGUGGAUGUUGCUUCUACUUCUCGGGUUGGCAUGUUCACAUCCGAUUGCCAGUGAGAGGCCUCAAACACAGGCGGUUUGCCAGAUCAUAUCUGGAACCAUGCCGGCCCCUAGUGUACCUCCAUUCAAGCUUGGAGGAUUAUUGAACACAGUUGCUAGAGAGAGGGGGGAGAGAUUAAAGGACUUAUCUGUUUGCUGUUAACAUAUCCUAUUUCAAGGGGCUCUUAAGACAGACGAUUCUAGCUUUGAUAACAUUCAUGAUUUUCCAAGGGACCUCAGAUUUUUCCUUUUCUUUUUUGUCAACUGAGCAACCUGACCUGCAAUAAAGAUUCUUUAUUUCUGGGAUAUUUGUAGGGGCAAUGCAGAUGUCAAUCUCUUUCUUAAAUCGAAGUUCGAAUCCUCUUCCCGAAGAUUAGAAUGGCUUAGAAUAUAGAUCUUUACCAUAAGAAUAGCAUAUUCCUCUACAGUUGCUGAGAUUAUAAAACUGUUGUACACAUCGGGGAAAAACAAAGGGAAACAACAAUCAGUUUUGUUCAUAAUUUAAAUUAGUACUUGACUGAUUGUCUGUUUAGCUUUACGGUUUUUGGCUAUUCUGGAGUGCAGGCAUUGUUUCUAGUUUGAUUGUCUGUUUAGCACUUUCUUCUUCUCUUCAAAGAGGAGCUGCGGCACUCUUUCUCUGCUGCUCUCUGCUCUGAUAUCUCUCAAAAUGGGCUGCUCAAAACAAAUGGUGCUCUCCUUUCUUCUCUCUAAAAACACACAGUCACGCUACUCCUUUUGUUUUCCCCAAAGAAUGGUUCCAUACCCGAGAAAACCAAUUGCCUUUGCCUUUGAAAAAUGCCAAAAGUAAAGGCCCUUGCUUAUGGUUUUUAUCACGUACUAUUAAUUAUAUGCACAAUUGAUUAUAUGCAUAUUAUUGUGUAUGUAAUUAUAGGAAUGGAAAGUGAACAAAGCAGUCAACCAAAAGGAAGUAGAGGGGUUUGGAAACAACAUGAUGAAGAUGCAUUAUUGUCCAUACUUGAAGAGGCAACUUGCCUUGUUGGCUAUUUGGACAAACUUUUUCUUAUUGAAACCAACUUGCAGUUGUAUAUAUGUGAACUUGGAUAUGUGGUUGGAUUAAUCUAUAUAACGUAAUGGCUGUAAUUGUAUUUUGUGAACCUUCUUUUGUGUUAUUGGAAAAUAUUUUGAAUUUGAUGUAUGGAAUUUA
Non-coding RNA from Malus domestica (apple), 1425 nucleotides. The record is from RefSeq and is a predicted model, not a curated record. NCBI's taxonomy places the organism in Eukaryota, Viridiplantae, Streptophyta, Magnoliopsida, Rosales, Rosaceae.